GACGAACGCUGGCGGCGUGCUUAACACAUGCAAGUCGAACGAUGAAGAAAAGAAUCGCAGCUUCGGCAGAAAUUCAUUUCGGAUUAGUGGCAGACGGGUGAGUAACGCGUGAGCAACCUACCUCUUACAAAGGGAUAGCCUCGGGAAACCGGGAUUAAUACCAUAUCACAUUGUGACGAAGCAUUUCGAUGCAAUCAAAGCUACGGCGGUAAGAGAUGGGCUCGCGUCCCAUUAACCGGAUGGUGAGGUAACGGCUCACCAUAGUGACGAUGGGUAACCGGCCUGAGAGGGUGAACGGUCACACUGGAACUGAGACACGGUCCAGACUCCUACGGGAGGCAGCAGUGGGGAAUAUUGCACAAUGGAGGGAACUCUGAUGCAGCGACGCCGCGUGAGUGAUGAAGGAAUUCGUUUCGUAAAACUCUGUUCUAUGGGAAGAAAAGGACUGUACCAAAGGAGAAAGCUCCGGCUAAAUACGUG
This 480-nucleotide ribosomal RNA is filed under the name uncultured bacterium. Its description in RNAcentral is "partial 16S ribosomal RNA". It matches the Rfam family "Bacterial small subunit ribosomal RNA", at positions 28 to 507 of the family's 1533-position model. The record is from RNAcentral.